GUGCUCACUUCUGAAGCACAUAUACUAAAAUUGGAGCAAUAUAGAGAAGAUUAGCAUGGCCACUGUGCAA
RNAcentral lists this small nuclear RNA (70 nucleotides) under Jaculus jaculus (lesser Egyptian jerboa). The record is from RNAcentral. Lineage: Eukaryota; Metazoa; Chordata; Mammalia; Rodentia; Dipodidae.